UACGUAGGUCCCGAGCGUUGUCCGGAUUUAUUGGGCGUAAAGCGAGCGCAGGUGGUUUAUUAAGUCUGGUGUAAAAGGCAGUGGCUCAACCAUUGUAUGCAUUGGAAACUGGUAGACUUGAGUGCAGGAGAGGAGAGUGGAAUUCCAUGUGUAGCGGCGAAAUGCGUAGAUAUAUGGGGGAACACCGGUGGCGAAAGCGGCUCUCUGGCCUGUAACUGACACUGAGGCUCGAAAGCGUGGGGAGCAAACAGG
Molecule: ribosomal RNA, 252 nt
Filed under: uncultured bacterium
Lineage: Bacteria
Description: partial 16S ribosomal RNA
Rfam family: Bacterial small subunit ribosomal RNA
Source: RNAcentral